CCUACGGGAGGCAGCAGUGAGGAAUAUUGGUCAAUGGACGAGAGUCUGAACCAGCCAAGUAGCGUGAAGGAUGAAGGUCCUACGGAUUGUAAACUUCUUUUAUAAGGGAAUAAACCCUCCCACGUGUGGGAGCUUGUAUGUACCUUAUGAAUAAGCAUCGGCUAACUCCGUGCCAGCAGCCGCGGUAAUACGGAGGAUCCGAGCGUUAUCCGGAUUUAUUGGGUUUAAAGGGAGCGUAGGCGGAUUGUUAAGUCAGUUGUGAAAGUUUGCGGCUCAACCGCAAAAUUGCAGUUGAUACUGGCAGUCUUGAGUGCAGUAGAGGUGGGCGGAAUUCGUGGUGUAGCGGUGAAAUGCGUAGAUAUUAGGAGGAACACUCGUGGCGAAGGCGGGUUCCUGGACAUUAACUGACGCUGAGGCACGAAGG
This 424-nucleotide ribosomal RNA is filed under the name uncultured Corynebacterium sp. RNAcentral describes it as "bacterial SSU rRNA". It matches the Rfam family "Bacterial small subunit ribosomal RNA", at positions 338 to 759 of the family's 1533-position model. The record is from RNAcentral. Lineage: Bacteria; Bacillati; Actinomycetota; Actinomycetes; Mycobacteriales; Corynebacteriaceae.